RNA transcript from Harpegnathos saltator (Jerdon's jumping ant), 976 nucleotides. It is a transcript of the gene named transmembrane protein 242, with no coding region annotated. The transcript is spliced from 5 exons. Lineage: Eukaryota; Metazoa; Arthropoda; Insecta; Hymenoptera; Formicidae. The record is from RefSeq and is a predicted model, not a curated record.
CCGCAUGGAGUAACCCAAGGGUGAAUCUGAGCGAUUUAAAAAUGGCGGAUGUCGCCGUUGGUUAUGUUUCUUCAGACGUGAUGGCGGAUUCCAUAGAUCCUAUGAAAACAUCUAUUACGAAGUCUGAAAAAUAUAAGGAAAGAAUUUAUGCUGUAGUGUUCCUGAGCACUGUUACUGGCAUUUCUGCUCUCGCGGGCUUUUCAAGAGCAAUAGCAACUGCCAGAAAGCAAGAUCCAAAAUACUUUGGUAAAGGAAUCUCUAGUGUUCAAGGGCUGCAUGAAACUGGAGCCUCAUUGGCACUGAGAGCUCUUGCUUGGGGUUCGUUUUAUGCUAUCACAGGAUGUGGUUUACUUUUCUAUGGAAUCUGGAAGAUUUCUGGAGCCACUAAUGCGGAAGAAUUUAGGUUUAAGAUGGGCUCUUUACUACCGAAAAUACCAAAAAAUGAUCCACCUCAAAGCAGGACAGAAUUUGGAGGUUUAAGAGAUUUUUUGACAUAUAUUUCUGAGGAUUGGGGACAAAGCAAGAAGGAAUAAAAAUUCAAGCGCAUAUACUAUUCACCUUCAUCCCAUGAUCGCUUGUACCGUUGACAUCUGGCAACGGUACGAUUAUUUAAAGAUCGUACGAUCGCGUAUACAUCCAACAUAUUCAAUCGAUUGAGCAAGAUAUUUUCUUUUCGACGCGUGCUAGUUUAUUGGAAGGCCUUCUUCUUAAGAUUUUUAUCACGUUAUGAAACGCGGGAAAUUGUGGCAUUUCUGGAUCGAAGCACAGCAGAAUAUUGUAGGAUUAUUAAAGAACACUCCCGGACAAAUCAACUUCAAACUGACUGAGGAAUGUCAUAAAAUAUAGUACGCUAAAAGUAGGACGCCUUGUAUACAUAACACGGAGAAUGGUUCUAACCAAAGGCAUCUAAUCUAUGGAAAAGCGUUACCAGAGAAAGUGUAGCCCUACUAUGUUAGCAAACUACUACUGUCGGACA